GAUGAACGCUGGCGGCGUGCCUAAUACAUGCAAGUCGAGCGAACGGACGAGAAGCUUGCUUCUCUGAUGUUAGCGACGGACGGGUGAGUAACACGUGGAUAACCUACCUAUAAGACUGGGAUAACUUCGGGAAACCGUAGCUAAUACCGGAUAAUAUUUUGAACCGCAUGGUUCAAAAGUGAAAGACGGUCUUGCUGUCACUUAUAGAUGGAUCCGCGCUGCAUUAGCUAGUUGGUAAGGUAACGGCUUACCAAGUCAACGAUGCAUAGCCGACCUGAGAGGGUGAUCGGCCACACUGGAACUGAGACACGGUCCAGACUCCUACGGGAGGCAGCAGUAGGGAAUCUUCCGCAAUGGGCGAAAGCCUGACGGAGCAACGCCGCGUGAGUGAUGAAGGUCUUCGGAUCGUAAAACUCUGUUAUUAGGGAAGAACAUAUGUGUAAGUAACUGUGCACAUCUUGACGGUACCUAAUCAGAAAGCCACGGCUAACUACGUG
This 497-nucleotide ribosomal RNA is filed under the name uncultured bacterium. Its description in RNAcentral is "partial 16S ribosomal RNA". It matches the Rfam family "Bacterial small subunit ribosomal RNA", at positions 28 to 507 of the family's 1533-position model. The record is from RNAcentral.